UACGUAGGGUGCAAGCGUUGUCCGGAAUUAUUGGGCGUAAAGAGCUCGUAGGCGGCUUGGUAUGUCGGGUGUGAAAUCCCCGGGCUCAACCUGGGAACUGCAUCCGAAACUGCCUUGCUAGAGUAUGGGAGAGGGAAGUGGAAUUUCCGGUGUAGCGGUGAAAUGCGUAGAUAUCGGAAGGAACAUCAGUGGCGAAGGCGACUUCCUGGACCAAUACUGACGCUCAGGUGCGAAAGCGUGGGGAGCAAACAGG
This 253-nucleotide ribosomal RNA is filed under the name uncultured bacterium. RNAcentral's name for it is "partial 16S ribosomal RNA". It matches the Rfam family "Bacterial small subunit ribosomal RNA", at positions 524 to 776 of the family's 1533-position model. The record is from RNAcentral.